UGCCAGCCGCCGCGGUAAUACGGAGGGUGCAAACGUUGUUCGGAAUCACUGGGCUUAAAGCGUGCGUAGGCGGCUUGGAAGGUGAGAUGUGAAAGCCCACGGCUCAACCGUGGAACCGCCUUGCAUACUGCAGUGCUCGAGUAUGGUAGGGGAGAGCGGAACUCCUGGUGGAGCGGUGAAAUGCGUAGAUAUCAGGAGGAACACCGGUGGCGAAGGCGGCUCUCUGGUCCAUUACUGACGCUGAGGUGCGAAAGCUAGGGUAGCGAACGGGAUUAGAUA
RNAcentral lists this ribosomal RNA (279 nucleotides) under uncultured bacterium. RNAcentral's name for it is "partial 16S ribosomal RNA". It matches the Rfam family "Bacterial small subunit ribosomal RNA", at positions 506 to 784 of the family's 1533-position model. The record is from RNAcentral.